This 504-nucleotide ribosomal RNA is filed under the name Prosymna lineata. RNAcentral's name for it is "partial large subunit ribosomal RNA". It matches the Rfam family "Bacterial large subunit ribosomal RNA", at positions 1816 to 2597 of the family's 2925-position model. The record is from RNAcentral. Lineage: Eukaryota; Metazoa; Chordata; Lepidosauria; Squamata; Prosymnidae.
AACCUUUAGCUAAACAAGCAUUAAAGGCAGCACCUGCCCAGUGAACAAUUAAACGGCCGCGGUACCCUAACCGUGCAAAGGUAGCGUAAUCACUUGUCUAUUAAUUGUAGACCCGUAUGAAAGGUAGAAUGAGGGCCCAACUGUCUCUUAUAAUAAAUCAAUUAAACUGAUCUCCCAGUACAAAAGCUGGAAUAUAAUCAUAAGACCAGAAGACCCUGUGAAGCUUAAACUAACAUAUUAAACCUCAUAAUAUCUACUUUCGGUUGGGGCGACCUUGGAAAAAAAAAGAACUUCCAAUAAUAUGACCAUACAUCAUGCACAGGCCAACAAGCCUACAUAGACCCAGUAUAACUGAUAAUCGAACCAAGUUACUCCAGGGAUAACAGCGCCAUCUUCUUCAAGAGCCCAUAUCAAAAAGAAGGUUUACGACCUCGAUGUUGGAUCAGGACAUCCUAAUGGUGCAGCAGCUAUUAAGGGUUCGUUUGUUCAACGAUUAACAGUCCU